AAAUAAUUAGUUAAAAAAAAAUAACAUUAGUUUGUCAAACUAAAAUUAUCAAUUUAUGAUAUUUUUUA
Molecule: transfer RNA, 68 nt
Filed under: Biomeigenia flava
Lineage: Eukaryota; Metazoa; Arthropoda; Insecta; Diptera; Tachinidae
Description: tRNA-Asp
Source: RNAcentral